ACGGGUGAGUAACACGUGGGAACGUACCCUUUGGUUCGGAAUAACGCUGGGAAACUAGCGCUAAUACCGGAUACGCCCUUUUGGGGAAAGGCUUGCUGCCGAAGGAUCGGCCCGCGUCUGAUUAGCUAGUUGGUGGGGUAAUGGCCUACCAAGGCGACGAUCAGUAGUUGGUCUGAGAGGAUGAUCAGCCACACUGGGACUGAGACACGGCCCAGACUCCUACGGGAGGCAGCAGUGGGGAAUAUGGGACAAUGGGCGCAAGCCUGAUCCAGCCAUGCCGCGUGAGUGAUGAAGGCCUUAGGGUUGUAAAGCUCUUUUGUCCGGGACGAUAAUGACGGUACCGGAAGAAUAAGCCCCGGCUAACUUCGUGCCAGCAGCCGCGGUAAUACGAAGGGGGCUAGCGUUGCUCGGAAUCACUGGGCGUAAAGGGCGCGUAGGCGGCCAUUCAAGUCGGGGGUGAAAGCCUGUGGCUCAACCACAGAAUUGCCUUCGAUACUGUUUGGCUUGAGUUUGGUAGAGGUUGGUGGAACUGCGAGUGUAGAGGUGAAAUUCGUAGA
RNAcentral lists this ribosomal RNA (557 nucleotides) under uncultured Methylobacterium sp. RNAcentral's name for it is "bacterial SSU rRNA". It matches the Rfam family "Bacterial small subunit ribosomal RNA", at positions 102 to 694 of the family's 1533-position model. Lineage: Bacteria; Pseudomonadati; Pseudomonadota; Alphaproteobacteria; Hyphomicrobiales; Methylobacteriaceae. The record is from RNAcentral.